AUGCAGCCAUGCCGCGUGUAUGAAGAAGGCCUUCGGGUUGUAAAGUACUUUCAGCGGGGAGGAAGGGAGUAAAGUUAAUACCUUUGCUCAUUGACGUUACCCGCAGAAGAAGCACCGGCUAACUCCGUGCCAGCAGCCGCGGUAAUACGGAGGGUGCAAGCGUUAAUCGGAAUUACUGGGCGUAAAGCGCACGCAGGCGGUUUGUUAAGUCAGAUGUGAAAUCCCCGGGCUCAACCUGGGAACUGCAUCUGAUACUGGCAAGCUUGAGUCUCGUAGAGGGGGGUAGAAUUCCAGGUGUAGCGGUGAAAUGCGUAGAGAUCUGGAGGAAUACCGGUGGCGAAGGCGGCCCCCUGGACGAAGACUGACGCUCAGGUGCGAAAGCGUGGGGAGCAAACAGGAUUAGAAACCCUAGUAGUCCC
This 419-nucleotide ribosomal RNA is filed under the name uncultured bacterium. Its description in RNAcentral is "bacterial SSU rRNA". It matches the Rfam family "Bacterial small subunit ribosomal RNA", at positions 386 to 797 of the family's 1533-position model. The record is from RNAcentral.